CUCGUAGGCGGCCAACUAAGUCGGAUGUGAAAAUCCCCCAGGCUCAACUUGGGAACUGCAUCCGAUACUGGAUGGCUUGAAUCCGGGAGAGGGAUGCAGAGUUCCAGGUGUAGCGGUGAAAUGCGUAGAUAUCUGGAGGAAUACCGGUGGCGAAGGCGGCAUCCUGGACCGGCAUUGACGCUGAUGAGCGAAAGCCAGGGGAGCAAAC
This 208-nucleotide ribosomal RNA is filed under the name uncultured bacterium. RNAcentral's name for it is "partial 16S ribosomal RNA". It matches the Rfam family "Bacterial small subunit ribosomal RNA", at positions 568 to 773 of the family's 1533-position model. The record is from RNAcentral.